GCGUCGGUGGCGGAGUGGUCAAUCGCGGCGGUCUGUAAAACCGCUGACUUUAUGUCUACGUUGGUUCAAAUCCAACCCGACGCA
RNAcentral lists this transfer RNA (84 nucleotides) under Patescibacteria group bacterium. RNAcentral describes it as "tRNA-Tyr". It matches the Rfam family "tRNA". Rfam says of the family: Transfer RNA (tRNA) molecules are approximately 80 nucleotides in length. Their secondary structure includes four short double-helical elements and three loops (D, anti-codon, and T loops). Further hydrogen bonds mediate the characteristic L-shaped molecular structure. tRNAs have two regions of fundamental functional importance: the anti-codon, which is responsible for specific mRNA codon recognition, and the 3' end, to which the tRNAs corresponding amino acid is attached (by aminoacyl-tRNA synthetases). tRNAs cope with the degeneracy of the genetic code in two manners: having more than one tRNA (with a specific anti-codon) for a particular amino acid; and 'wobble' base-pairing, i.e. permitting non-standard base-pairing at the 3rd anti-codon position. The record is from RNAcentral.